This 73-nucleotide transfer RNA is filed under the name Paramuricea clavata. It matches the Rfam family "tRNA". Rfam says of the family: Transfer RNA (tRNA) molecules are approximately 80 nucleotides in length. Their secondary structure includes four short double-helical elements and three loops (D, anti-codon, and T loops). Further hydrogen bonds mediate the characteristic L-shaped molecular structure. tRNAs have two regions of fundamental functional importance: the anti-codon, which is responsible for specific mRNA codon recognition, and the 3' end, to which the tRNAs corresponding amino acid is attached (by aminoacyl-tRNA synthetases). tRNAs cope with the degeneracy of the genetic code in two manners: having more than one tRNA (with a specific anti-codon) for a particular amino acid; and 'wobble' base-pairing, i.e. permitting non-standard base-pairing at the 3rd anti-codon position. The record is from Rfam by way of RNAcentral. Lineage: Eukaryota; Metazoa; Cnidaria; Anthozoa; Malacalcyonacea; Plexauridae.
GACUGCGUAGCUCAGUUGGCAGAGCAUUGGGCUAGUAUUCCAAAGGUUGUAGGUUCGAUUCCCACCAUGGCCA